Molecule: ribosomal RNA, 458 nt
Filed under: uncultured bacterium
Lineage: Bacteria
Description: bacterial SSU rRNA
Rfam family: Bacterial small subunit ribosomal RNA
Source: RNAcentral
UACGGGAGGCAGCAGUGGGGAAUAUUGCACAAUGGGCGCAAGCCUGAUGCAGCCAUGCCGCGUGUAUGAAAAAGGCCUUCGGGUUGUAAAGUACUUUCAGUCGUGAGGAAGGUGUUAAGGUUAAUAACCUUAGCAAUUGACGUUAGCGACAGAAGAAGCACCGGCUAACUCCGUGCCAGCAGCCGCGGUAAUACGGAGGGUGCGAGCGUUAAUCGGAAUUACUGGGCGUAAAGGGCACGCAGGCGGUUAAUUAAGUUGGAUGUGAAAUCCCCGGGCUUAACCUGGGAAUGGCAUUCAAGACUGGUUAGCUAGAGUCUUGUAGAGGGGGUAGAAUUCCAUGUGUAGCGGUGAAAUGCGUAGAGAUGUGGAGGAAUACCGGUGGCGAAGGCGGCCCCCUGGACAAAGGACUGACGCUCAUGUGCGAAAGCGUGGGGAGCAAACAGGGAUUAGAUACCCGU